This 468-nucleotide ribosomal RNA is filed under the name uncultured bacterium. RNAcentral describes it as "partial 16S ribosomal RNA". It matches the Rfam family "Bacterial small subunit ribosomal RNA", at positions 28 to 507 of the family's 1533-position model. The record is from RNAcentral.
GACGAACGCUGGCGGCGUGCUUAACACAUGCAAGUCGAACGGAAAGGCCCUGCUUUUGUGGGGUGCUCGAGUGGCGAACGGGUGAGUAACACGUGAGUAACCUGCCCUUGACUUUGGGAUAACUUCAGGAAACUGGGGCUAAUACCGGGUAGGAGCUCCUGCUGCACGGUGGGGGUUGGAGAGUUUCGGCGGUUGGGGAUGGACUCGCGGCUUAUCAGCUUGUUGGUCGGGUAGUGGCUUACCAAGGCUUUGAGGGGUAGCCGGCCUGAGAGGGUGACCGGCCACAUUGGUCCUGCGGGACGCACCAGAAGGGUAUGUGAGGCAGUAGUGGGGAGUAUUGCGGAGUGGCGCGAAGUGUGAGACAACGAUGCCGCGUGCGGAAUGACGGGUUACUGGUUGUAAACCGCUUUCGCAUUUGACGAAGCGUGAGUGACGGUAAUGGGUAAAGAAGCACCGGCUAACUACGUG